Molecule: ribosomal RNA, 468 nt
Filed under: uncultured bacterium
Lineage: Bacteria
Description: partial 16S ribosomal RNA
Rfam family: Bacterial small subunit ribosomal RNA
Source: RNAcentral
GACGAACGCUGGCGGCGUGCUUAACACAUGCAAGUCGAACGGAAAGGCCCUGCUUUUGUGGGGUGCUCGAGUGGCGAACGGGUGAGUAACACGUGAGUAACCUGCCCUUGACUUUGGGAUAACUUCAGGAAACUGGGGCUAAUACCGGAUAGGAGCUCCUGCUGCAUGGUGGGGGUUGGAAAGUUUCGGCGGUUGGGGAUGGACUCGCGGCUUAUCAGCUUGUUGGUGGAGUAGUGGCUUACCAAGGCUUUGACGGGUAGCCGGCCUGAGAGGGUGACAGGCCACAUUGGGACUGAAAUACGGCCCAGACUCCUACGGGAGGCAGCAGUGGGGAAUAUUGCACAAUGGGCGGAAGCCUGAUGCAGCAACGCCGCGUGCGGGAUGACGGCCUUCGGGUUGUAAACCGCUUUCGCCUGUGACGAAGCGUGAGUGACGGUAAUGGGUAAAGAAGCACCGGCUAACUACGUG